GAUUAUUUAGAUUUUUGAACAUUUGUAACACUUUGAAGUUUUGUACCUUCAUUGUGUUUAUUAUAUAUUUCUGUGUUGC
RNAcentral lists this small nucleolar RNA (79 nucleotides) under Oryza sativa Japonica Group (Japanese rice). Its description in RNAcentral is "Small nucleolar RNA Z199". The record is from RNAcentral. Lineage: Eukaryota; Viridiplantae; Streptophyta; Magnoliopsida; Poales; Poaceae.